RNAcentral lists this transfer RNA (77 nucleotides) under Dehalococcoidia bacterium. Its description in RNAcentral is "tRNA-Val". It matches the Rfam family "tRNA". Rfam says of the family: Transfer RNA (tRNA) molecules are approximately 80 nucleotides in length. Their secondary structure includes four short double-helical elements and three loops (D, anti-codon, and T loops). Lineage: Bacteria; Bacillati; Chloroflexota; Dehalococcoidia. The record is from RNAcentral.
GGGCGAUUAGCUCAGCCGGUUAGAGCGCUUCGCUUACACCGAAGAGGCCGGGGGUUCGAGUCCCUCAUCGCCCACCA